RNAcentral lists this ribosomal RNA (1214 nucleotides) under uncultured fungus. Its description in RNAcentral is "eukaryotic LSU rRNA". The stretch from base 565 to 1214 matches the Rfam family "Eukaryotic large subunit ribosomal RNA", at positions 1 to 667 of the family's 3401-position model. Lineage: Eukaryota; Fungi. The record is from RNAcentral.
CUUGGUCAUUUAGAGGAAGUAAAAGUCGUAACAAGGUUUCCGUAGGUGAACCUGCGGAAGGAUCAUUAAAGAGAAAGGAUGAAAGUCCAACCUCCAACCCUUUGUUAUAAACCACUAGUUGCCUUGCCUUAUGUCAGUUGACUGGGGGUGUGGGGAAACCCGUGCCAACUCUUAACGGGCCUCUAUGGCAAUGGACCUUUAAACUCGAAUAUCAGUGUAGUCUGAGAAAAAAUUCAAUGAAUUAAAACUUUCAACAACGGAUCUCUUGGUUCUCGCAUCGAUGAAGAACGCAGCGAAAUGCGAUAAGUAAUGUGAAUUGCAGAAUUCAGUGAAUCAUCGAAUCUUUGAACGCACAUUGCGCCCUCUGGUAUUCCGGAGGGCAUGCCUGUUCGAGCGUCAUUUGCUAAACUCAAGCCUACUUGUAGGCCUGGUCUUGGGUGCUGUCCAUUCCGGUGGACACACCUCAAAUGCAASGGCGACACUGCCUGGCUUCAAGCGUCUAGGAAACUUCAUCGCUUCUGUCAGAUAAAUGUCUGCCUCUCAACCCCAAUUUUUAUUCUGGGUUGACCUCGGAUCAGGUAGGGAUACCCGCUGAACUUAAGCAUAUCAUAAGCGGAGGAAAAGAAACCAACAGGGAUUGCCUCAGUAACGGCGAGUGAAGCGGCAACAGCUCAAAUUUGAAAUCUGGGUCUUUCAGGCUCCGAGUUGUAAUUUGUAGAGGGAUCUUCGGAUGUGGUCCGGCCUAAGUUUCAUGGAACUGAACAUCAUAGAGGGUGAGAAUCCCGUAUGCGGCCGGGUGCCUAUAUCCAUGUGAAGUCUCUUCGACGAGUCGAGUUGUUUGGGAAUGCAGCUCAAAAUGGGUGGUAAAUUUCAUCUAAAGCUAAAUACCGGCGAGAGACCGAUAGCGCACAAGUAGAGUGAUCGAAAGAUGAAAAGCACUUUGGAAAGAGAGUUAAAAAGUACGUGAAAUUGUUGAAAGGGAAGCGCUUGCAAUCAGACUUGCCUUCAGCUUAUCAUCCGGUGUUCUCACCGGUGCACUAGGUUGUUGUCAGGCCAGCAUCGGUUUUGGCGGCUGGAUAAAGGCCUUGGGAAUGUGGCCCCUCUCGGGGGGUGUUAUAGCCCAGGGUGUAAUGCAGCCAGCUGGGACCGAGGACCGCGCUUCGGCUAGGAUGCUGGCGUAAUGGUUGUAAGCGACCCGUCUUGAAACACGGACC